UACGGAGGGGACUAGCGUUGUUCGGAAUUACUGGGCGUAAAGCGCACGUAGGCGGACCGAAAAGUUGGGGGUGAAAUCCCGGGGCUCAACCCCGGAACUGCCCUCAAAACUAUUGGUCUGGAGUUCGAGAGAGGUGAGUGGAAUUCCGAGUGUAGAGGUGAAAUUCGUAGAUAUUCGGAGGAACACCAGUGGCGAAGGCGGCUCACUGGCUCGAUACUGACGCUGAGGUGCGAAAGCGUGGGGAGCAAACAGG
RNAcentral lists this ribosomal RNA (253 nucleotides) under uncultured bacterium. RNAcentral describes it as "partial 16S ribosomal RNA". It matches the Rfam family "Bacterial small subunit ribosomal RNA", at positions 524 to 776 of the family's 1533-position model. The record is from RNAcentral.